GACGAACGCUGGCGGCGUGCCUAAUACAUGCAAGUCGAGCGAACAGACGAGGAGCUUGCUCCUCUGACGUUAGCGGCGGACGGGUGAGUAACACGUGGAUAACCUACCUAUAAGACUGGGAUAACUUCGGGAAACCGGAGCUUAUACCGGAUAAUAUAUUGAACCGCAUGGUUCAAUAGUGAAAGUCGGUUUUGCUGUCACUUAUAGAUGGAUCCGCGCCGCAUUAGCUAGUUGGUAAGGUAACGGGAUACCAAGGCGACGAUGCGUAGCCGACCUGAGAGGGGGGUCGCCCAGCUGGGAGGGUGAAAGGGGCCCAGACGCCUGCGGGAAGCAGCAGUCGGGAAUCUUACGCAAUGGGGGAGAGCCUGACAGAGCAACGCGGCGUGAGUGGUGAAGGUGUUCGGAUCGUGAAGCUCUGUUAUUAGGGGAGAACAAAUGUGUAAGUAGCUGUGCAGGUAUUGACGGUACCUGGUCAAGAAGCCACGGCUAACUACGUG
This 497-nucleotide ribosomal RNA is filed under the name uncultured bacterium. RNAcentral describes it as "partial 16S ribosomal RNA". It matches the Rfam family "Bacterial small subunit ribosomal RNA", at positions 28 to 507 of the family's 1533-position model. The record is from RNAcentral.